This 407-nucleotide long non-coding RNA is filed under the name Olea europaea (common olive). RNAcentral's name for it is "long non-coding RNA (OEUR_LNC004018)". The record is from RNAcentral. Lineage: Eukaryota; Viridiplantae; Streptophyta; Magnoliopsida; Lamiales; Oleaceae.
UGGAAAUUACAUUGGAUGUCAUUUUUUGGGUUUGCAUUUACAAAAAUAUCACAUUUUAAUAGUUUUGACCAAACUAUCACUUUAUGACUUUUAUGGCCCUCAAAAAAAAUUGAAAUACCUUGGAUGUCCUUAAUUAAAAUUGAUUUGACUAGAUGAAAUAAUAGUACAAAAAGUUAAUUUGCAUCACAUCAAAAGGUCCCAUCUCACUACUUACAAGAAAAAAAACAAAAACUAAAAAAUAUAUAUAUGAAAACUAAAAAUGUAAAAAUAUUCAUUCAUAUAGCAACCAAGGCCCUAAACCUAAACAACUCUCAAUUUCCUCUUUCUCACUCAAGAUCUUCUAUGAUUGCCAAAAUAUCCAUUUUUGUCCAGGUUUGUUGGUCUAAAAAGUUCAUACAAUUUACUCU